RNAcentral lists this unclassified non-coding RNA (1901 nucleotides) under Hevea brasiliensis (rubber tree). Lineage: Eukaryota; Viridiplantae; Streptophyta; Magnoliopsida; Malpighiales; Euphorbiaceae. The record is from RNAcentral.
GAAUUGUCUUUAAAGUUUGAAAGACACUUGGAUUCUGAGAUAAUUGAUUUUCAGAUAUUGCUAUUCAAAGCUUGCAUUUUUAUGUGCUGAUCGUUCUGUUUGCCUACAUGCGAAAUAUGGAAAACAUUACAGCUUGCGGAUUCCAAGGAUGGGAAGGGAUAUUGCAUAUGAUUGCUGGUCAUGUGACUUGCUUGUGCUGCUUCAUCUCCAGAUUUAUAUCGGAUUAAUUUAGAACAGGGACGAUUUCUAUCCUCACUCAACACGCAAUCACAGGCCCUGAAUAUAGUUAGUCGUAGCAAGCUUCACGGGCUGGUUGCUUGUGGUGGCGAGGAUGGUGCUGUGGAAUGUUUUGAUAUGAGGAUGAGAUCUUCAGUUGGUAGAAUUAAUGCAGUGGCACCUGCUGGUGAUAUUGAUCAGGAGGUCACUGCAUUAGAGUUUGACGAGGAUGGGGGUUUCUUCAUGGCUGUUGGAAGUAGCACUGGGAAGGUAUUGCUUUAUGAUCUGCGAUCCUCACAACCUGUGCGAGUUAAGGAUCAUAUGUAUGGCAGCCCAAUAUUGGACAUUAAGUGGCAUCGAACUCUCAAUUCUGAACGAGAUAUGCUAAUUACUACGGAUAAUCAUAUAGUUAGAAUAUGGGAUCCUGAGACGGGAAAUGGCAUGACAAGCAUUGAACCUACAGCUGGAACGAUAAAUGAUAUAUGUGUAUUCAAUAACAGUGGUUUGAUGUUACUGGCUUUGGACUGCAGCCAGAUACCAUCUUACUUUAUUCCUUCUUUGGGACCUGCUCCUAAGUGGUGCUCUAAUCUUGAAAAUCUAACAGAAGAGCUGGAGGAGAAUGCACAAACAACCAUAUAUGAUGAUUACAAAUUUUUGACAAAAGAAGAUCUUGAAAAAUUGAAUUUGACAAAUUUGAUUGGAACCAAUCUUCUAAGAGCAUACAUGCAUGGCUUCUUCAUUGAUUAUCGGUUGUAUAAGAAGGCAAAAGCAUUGGCAGAUCCUUUUGCCUAUGAAGCUUAUAUAGAGCAGCGGAAACGAGAGAAAUUGGAAGCUCAACUCAAAUCUCGAAUUACGACUAGGAGAAGACUACCCAAGGUCAACCGUGAUCUUGCAGCUAGGAUCCUUGAAAAUGAAGAAGUUGAGAAUGAAAAGAAAGAUGCUGAUGAAAAUGAGACCAAAAAACCAUCAAAGAAAAAGAAAGGACUUAGCAGUGAGUUAUUUCAAGAUGAGAGAUUUGCAUCGUUGUUCAAAAAUAAGGACUUUGAGAUUGAUGAGCAGUCGCGAGAAUAUUUGGCUUUACAUCCACUGGCUUCUGAUUCCAAGAAGCAACCCUCUUUGCUAGAGGAACACUUUGAACCCGUAAUGGAUGAUGAAGAUCAGAAUUUGAGUGAUGAUGCUGCCUCAUCUGAGUCAUCAGAAGAUGAGCCUGGCGAUGAUAAGAGAAAAAUAAAAAAUAAAUCACAAGUUCCAAGAUUAUAUGAAGUGAAGGAUGAGCGGCAUGCAGAGGCAUUCUGGAACAGAGUAUCACUCGCAAAGGAAGAUUCUCUUCCGUUGGGGGAGAGAGUGGCAGCUCUUGGAGAUGACCGGCACACUUCUGGACUUCCAAACAAUGUGAAGUUGGGACCAGGAGGGUCACGAGAGAUUUCCUUCAUUACAAGAAGCUCAGCCAAGUGCAAGGAGGAUAAGGAAGACACAGAAACAGAAACACGGGGUGCAAAGAGGAGGGGAGUACAGUCAUUAGGUCUAAAGUCCGGUAGAUCAGGAGGGUUUAGAGGUGGCGGAAGAGGGAAUCGGGGGAAGGGGGAAGGGCAGAAGAGGCCGACGGUGAACAUGAACACAUCGAUUCAGGUGCAAGUGAUUUCUGACUCGUAUAGCUUUAGCUGCACUUGGUGGCUUCACUGGCC